GUGUAACAACUCACCUGCCGAAUGCAUCAGCCCUGAAAAUGGAUGGCGCUCAAGCGCGCGGCCGAUACACCGCCGCCGGGGCGGUGCCUAGGCCCCGGCGAGUAGGAGGGCGUCGUGCUCGCGCCGAAGCCUCGGGCGCAAGCCUGGGUGGAGCGGGCUCGAGUGCAGAUCUUGGUGGGAGUAGCGUGAAUUCAAGCGAGAACCUUGAGGACUGGAGUGGAGAAGGGUUCCACGCGAACUGCGAUUGGACGUGGGUGAGUCGAUCCUAAGAGAUGGGGUAACCCCGUGAGAGGGCGUCAAGCACGCUGUCCAUCGAAAGGGAAGCGGGUUAACAUUCCCGCACCGGGAAGCGGGGUGCGCGCGGCAACGCAAGCGAACCCGGGGACGCCGGCGGGGGCGCUGGGGAGAGUUCUCUUUUCUACUUAACAGCCCGGCCGGACCGUGGAAUCGGGUUGUCCGGAGAAGCGGCGGCCUGACUGGAAGAGCGGCGCCCUCGUGCGCCGCCCGGCCCGCCCCCGACGGCCCAUGAAAACCCGGGGGAGGAGUCUGACCCUCGCGCCCGGUCGUACCCAGAACCGCAUCAGGUCUCCAAGGUGA
Molecule: ribosomal RNA, 597 nt
Filed under: Proteomonas sulcata
Lineage: Eukaryota; Cryptophyceae; Pyrenomonadales; Geminigeraceae
Description: partial Eukaryotic large subunit ribosomal RNA
Rfam family: Eukaryotic large subunit ribosomal RNA
Source: RNAcentral